CGGGGGGAAGGAGGAAAAACACCCACAGCCUUAUGUCUCCGCGCUUGUUGGGAACUUGAACUCGGCUCCCAGGGGCCGGUGGAAAACGCUGCUAAUCAGCUGAGCAUUUCGGAGCCUCGCUGGAGCAAGGCAGAAAUGAUCUCAUGUUUUGUCUAAUCUAAAUUCUGUCAAGCAAGCAGAGAGAAAGAAAAAAAGACAGACGGAAAGCGAGCAAGGGAAGGCUACACAGUUAAUAAAAAUCUGCUAGACACAUGUUCGGAGCUGGGAGACCGGGAAGGGGAGAGCCGAGCGCCGGCGGUGCCGAGCCCUAGGCCGGGCUGAAAUGCGUGCCAGGCUCUGGGAGCUGGGGUGAGCUGCAGCCUCCCAGCCCCACGGGGACAUUUCUCCACCUGCCAGGGGCAGGGCACACGGCUGGGGGCUGUGGGGUGUCCCUGCUGCCAGCCCGCUGCGGUCACCGCUGGGUGCCGACCAGCCUGGGGGAGAGGCUGGAGCUGGAGCCCAUGACCUCUGCCCGUGCUUCCAGUUCCCCCAGUCAGGACUGGGGGAGCUGACUGGCCUGGCAGAGGCUUGCCCUCCUCUGUGUGGCACGUUGCUUUUUUCUGCUUGCCCAGCUGGAGCAGGAGAGAUGCUUCUGGGGCUGUGUGCGCAGGGAGCUGGGGGAGGCAGAGGAAAGCCUUUUCUUGCCAUUCUCCUCCUCCAAAUCCUCACCGUUCUCAUCCGUCCUUCUCACCUGAUGGAUUCACUGGCUUUUGGUUAAAAUACACUUUCUCAGCCUUUUCA
Long non-coding RNA from Anas platyrhynchos (mallard), 780 nucleotides. RefSeq lists it as uncharacterized. The record is from RefSeq and is a predicted model, not a curated record. Lineage: Eukaryota; Metazoa; Chordata; Aves; Anseriformes; Anatidae.